RNAcentral lists this ribosomal RNA (393 nucleotides) under Triticum aestivum (bread wheat). RNAcentral's name for it is "partial small subunit ribosomal RNA". The record is from RNAcentral. Lineage: Eukaryota; Viridiplantae; Streptophyta; Magnoliopsida; Poales; Poaceae.
AUGCAACGCUGCUUCCCUUCCCGGAGCACCCGGCGGCAGGCGCCUCAUCACGGCGGCGGCGUGACCGUCGUGUCCUGCGGCGAGGGCGAGGGCGGCGUCAAGAUCGUCGUGAGCAGGGACGAGCUGGAGCGCAUCGCCGCGGGCGUCAGCCGGAGGCAGUGCCGGCACCGGCACGUCGUGGUGCCGUCGGCGCCCGGGCCUCCGGUGGAGGAGGAGCAGUCGGCGCGGGCAGGGGUAGGAACCACCAAGCCCAACACCAUCAUCAUCCCCGUCCUCGCCAAGGAUUUCACAAGGUGGCCGCGCACCGGCACAGCAAUUUACCCUCUCUGCGCGCAGCCUCAGGAUGCCUCUCUUUCCAAGGAGGAGGAGGAGGACAAUGCUCUGUUGCUGUAA